This is a ribosomal RNA of Pteropus vampyrus (large flying fox), 118 nucleotides long. The record is from Ensembl. Lineage: Eukaryota; Metazoa; Chordata; Mammalia; Chiroptera; Pteropodidae.
GUCUACAGCCAUGCCACUUUGAACAAGCCCAAACCCAUCUGAUCUUGGAAGUUAAGCAGGGUUGGGCCUGUUAGUAUUUGGAUGGGAGACCACCUAGGAAAACCAGGUGCUGUAGGUG